GAUGAAGAACGUAGCGAAAUGCGAUAAGUAAUGCGAAUUGAAGAAUUCAGUGAAUCAUCGAAUCUUUGAACGCACAUUGCGCCCGCUAGUAUUCUGGCGGGCAUGCCUGUCUGAGCGUCAUUUCAACCCUCGCCCCCGGCUUUUGCUGGGAGCGGUGUUGGGGAUCGGCCGCCCGUCACUGGGAGGCCGGCCCCGAAAUAGAGUGGCGACCACGCCGUGUGCUCCUCUGCGUAGUAGUAAAUCACCUCGCAGGCGGACAGCGGUGCGGCCUGCCGUAAAACCCCCAACUCUUUCUGGUUGACCUCAGAUCAGGUAGGAAUACCCGCUGAACUUAAGCAUAUCAAUAAGCGGAGGA
RNAcentral lists this unclassified non-coding RNA (355 nucleotides) under soil metagenome. RNAcentral describes it as "partial contains 5.8S ribosomal RNA, internal transcribed spacer 2, and large subunit ribosomal RNA". The stretch from base 1 to 120 matches the Rfam family "5.8S ribosomal RNA", at positions 35 to 154 of the family's 154-position model. The record is from RNAcentral.